GCGAGGCUUGCACAAUUGCCCGCGGCGGGACGUGGGUCGCCGGGCCCGCCCGGCGCCAGAUUAGGAGUGGGGCUAGAGAAGGGGCGAGGACGCGAGGUGUGGCGUCCCGGGGUCUGGGGAUGCGAGGCCAGGGCCUCCGAGGUGAACUGGUCCUGCCCUUUCGACCCCGUGUGCGCCCUCCCUCAGGCCAAGUUUGAGCUGAUCACCUCCGAGGCCUCCUACAUCCACAGCCUGUCGGUGGCUGUGGGCCAUUUCUUAGGCUCUGCCGAGCUGAGCGAGUGUCUGGGGGCGCAGGACAAACAGUGGCUGUUUUCCAAACUGCCCGAGGUCAAGAGCACCAGCGAGAGGUUCCUGCAGGACCUGGAGCAGCGGCUGGAGGCAGAUGUGCUGCGCUUCAGCGUGUGCGACGUGGUGCUGGACCACUGCCCGGCCUUCCGCAGAGUCUACCUGCCCUAUGUCACCAACCAGGCCUACCAGGAGCGCACCUACCAGCGCCUGCUAACAUCCUGAAGCGGACAGCACAGGGCUCUGAAGACGAAGACAUGGCCACCAAGGCCUUCAAUGCGCUCAAGGAGCUGGUGCAGGAGUGCAAUGCUAGUGUACAGUCCAUGAAGAGGACAGAGGAACUCAUCCACCUGAGCAAGAAGAUCCACUUUGAGGGCAAGAUUUUCCCGCUGAUCUCUCA
This 685-nucleotide small RNA is filed under the name Pan troglodytes (chimpanzee). RNAcentral's name for it is "processed transcript". Lineage: Eukaryota; Metazoa; Chordata; Mammalia; Primates; Hominidae. The record is from RNAcentral.